RNAcentral lists this ribosomal RNA (523 nucleotides) under uncultured bacterium. Its description in RNAcentral is "bacterial SSU rRNA". It matches the Rfam family "Bacterial small subunit ribosomal RNA", at positions 777 to 1299 of the family's 1533-position model. The record is from RNAcentral.
AAUAGAUACCCGGGUAGUCCACGCAGUAAACGAUGUAGACUGGCUAUGUGUAGAGUAAUUCCGUGCGUAGCGAAGCUAACGCGUUAAGUUUACCGCCUGGGGAGCACGGUCGCAAGACUAAAACUCAAAGAAAUUGACGGGGGCCCGCACAAGCGGUGGGGCAUGUGGUUUAAUUCGAUGCAACUCGAAAAACCUUACCUACCUUUGACAUCCUUAGAAUCUGACUGAGAGGUUGGAGUGCCGAAAGGAACUAAGUGACAGGUGCUGCAUGGCUGUCGUCAGCUCGUGUCGUGAGAUGUUGGGUUAAGUCCCCUAACGAGCGCAACCCUUAUCCCUUGUUGCUACCAGGUAAUGCUGGGCACUCUAGGGAGACUGCCAGUGAUAAGCUGGAGGAAGGUGAGGAUGAGGUCAAGUCAUCAUGGCCUUUAUGGGUAGGGCAACACACGUGCUACAAUGGGAUACACAAUGAGUCGCAAACUCGCGAGAGCAAGCUAAUCUCUUAAAUUAUCUCGUAGUCCGGAUU